RNAcentral lists this ribosomal RNA (448 nucleotides) under uncultured bacterium. RNAcentral describes it as "bacterial SSU rRNA". It matches the Rfam family "Bacterial small subunit ribosomal RNA", at positions 328 to 792 of the family's 1533-position model. The record is from RNAcentral.
UUGCCAGACUCCUACGGGAGGCAGCAGUGGGGAAUAUUGCGCAAUGGGGGAAACCCUGACGCAGCAACGCCGCGUGAGUGAGGAAGUAUCUCGGUAUGUAAAGCUCUAUCAGCGGGGAAGAAAGAGGACGGUACCCGACUAAGAAGCCCCGGCUAACUACGUGCCAGCAGCCGCGGUAAUACGUAGGGGGCGAGCGUUAUCCGGAUUUACUGGGUGUAAAGGGAGCGUAGACGGCGUCGCAAGUCUGAAGUGAAAGCCCGUGGCUCAACCGCGGAACCGCUUUGGAAACUGCGAGGCUGGAGUGCUGGAGAGGUAAGCGGAAUUCCUAGUGUAGCGGUGAAAUGCGUAGAUAUUAGGAGGAACACCAGUGGCGAAGGCGGCCUACUGGACGGUGACUGACGCUGAGGCUCGAAAGCGUGGGGAGCAAACAGGAUUAGAUACCCCUGUA